This 460-nucleotide ribosomal RNA is filed under the name uncultured bacterium. Its description in RNAcentral is "partial 16S ribosomal RNA". It matches the Rfam family "Bacterial small subunit ribosomal RNA", at positions 338 to 795 of the family's 1533-position model. The record is from RNAcentral.
CCUACGGGAGGCAGCAGUGAGGAAUAUUGGUCAAUGGCCGAGAGUCUGAACCAGCCAAGUCGCGUGAAGGAAGACGGCCCUACGGGUUGUAAACUUCUUUUGUCGGGGAGUAAAGCGAACCACGUGUGGCUCAUUGAGAGUACCCUAAGAAAAAGCAUCGGCUAACUCCGUGCCAGCAGCCGCGGUAAUACGGAGGAUUCGAGCGUUAUCCGGAUUUAUUGGGUUUAAAGGGUGCGUAGGCGGGUGGUCAAGGUAGGGGUGAAAUUCCGGGGGCCAACCCCGGAACUGCUGUUGAAACUGGAAGCCUUGAGUGCGGGAGAGGUAGGCGGAAUGCGUGGUGUAGCGGUGAAAUGCAUAGAGAUCACGCAGAACUCCGAUUGCGAAGGCAGCAUACCGGCGCGCCACUGACGCUCAGGCACGAAAGCGUGGGUAUCGAACAGGAUUAGAUACCCGUGUAGUC